RNAcentral lists this ribosomal RNA (300 nucleotides) under Coelotinae sp. Xt013. RNAcentral describes it as "partial 12S ribosomal RNA". Lineage: Eukaryota; Metazoa; Arthropoda; Arachnida; Araneae; Agelenidae. The record is from RNAcentral.
UUUAACUUGGCGGCAUUCUAUCUAAUUAGAGGAAUUUGUCCUUUAAUCGACGCCCCACGUUAAAUUUCACUUUAAUUAUAUAAUUUAUAUACCCCCAUCUAAAGAAUCGAUUUAAAAUACAUUUCUAAAUAAACAAUAAAAAGUUAGGCCAAGGUGUAGUCCAUAUUAAAGAAUGAGAUGAAUUACAAUAAAUACUAAUUAAAGAAUAUUAAUAAAAUAUUAAUAUAAAUAAGAAUUUAAUAGAAAUAUUAAAAAUAAUAAUUCAAUAUGAUAAAGAUCAUAAAUGUGCACACAUCGCCC